Molecule: transfer RNA, 64 nt
Filed under: Liposcelis decolor
Lineage: Eukaryota; Metazoa; Arthropoda; Insecta; Psocodea; Liposcelididae
Description: tRNA-Glu
Source: RNAcentral
AAUCAUUUAGUUAAAAAAUAACGUAACUUUUUCAGAGUUAGAUUAAUUUUAGGAUUAAUAAUUA